AGCAGCCGCGGUAAUUCCAGCUCCAAUAGCGUAUAUUAAAGUUGUUGCAGUUAAAAAGCUCGUAGUUGAAUUUCGGAGUUUGUCGGUUGGUCGGGCUUCACUGUCCGCACUGGCCUGAUGGAUUCCUACCUUCUGAAUAACCAGCAUGCUAUUAAGUUAGUGCGUUGGGGAAGCAGAGCUAUUACCUUGAAAAAAUUAGAGUGCUUAAAGCAGGCUUAUGCUUGAAUAGAUUAGCAUGGAAUAAUAAAAUAGGACGGCAUGGUUCUAUUUUGUUGGUUUCUAGGAUCACCGUAAUGAUUAAUAGGGAUAGUUGGGGGCAUUAGUAUUCAAUUGUCAGAGGUGAAAUUCUUGGAUUUAUUGAAGACUAACUUCUGCGAAAGCAUUUGCCAAGGAUGUUUUCAUUAAUCAAGAACGAAAGUUAGGGGAUCGAAGACGAUCAGAUACCGUCGUAGCCUUAACCAUAAACUAUGCCGACUAGGGAUCGGACGAUGUUAAUUUUUAAUGACUCGUUC
RNAcentral lists this ribosomal RNA (512 nucleotides) under uncultured Acaulospora. RNAcentral describes it as "SSU rRNA". It matches the Rfam family "Eukaryotic small subunit ribosomal RNA", at positions 569 to 1081 of the family's 1831-position model. Lineage: Eukaryota; Fungi; Glomeromycota; Glomeromycetes; Diversisporales; Acaulosporaceae. The record is from RNAcentral.